This 427-nucleotide ribosomal RNA is filed under the name uncultured bacterium. RNAcentral's name for it is "bacterial SSU rRNA". It matches the Rfam family "Bacterial small subunit ribosomal RNA", at positions 29 to 497 of the family's 1533-position model. The record is from RNAcentral.
AACGAACGCUGGCGGCAUGCCUAACACAUGCAAGUCGAACGAACCCUUCGGGGUUAGUGGCGCACGGGUGCGUAACACGUGGGAAUCUGCCCUUUGCUUCGGAAUAACAGUUAGAAAUGACUGCUAAUACCGGAUGAUGUCGUAAGACCAAAGAUUUAUCGGCAAAGGAUGAGCCCGCGUAGGAUUAGGUAGUUGGUGGGGUAAAGGCCUACCAAGCCGACGAUCCUUAGCUGGUCUGAGAGGACGAUCAGCCACACUGGGACUGAGACACGGCCCAGACUCCUACGGGAGGCAGCAGUGGGGAAUAUUGGACAAUGGGCGAAAGCCUGAUCCAGCAAUGCCGCGUGAGUGAUGAAGGCCUUCGGGUUGUUAAAGGCUCUUUUACCUAGGGAUGAUAAUGACAGUACCUGGAGAAUAAGACUCCGGC